CCUACGGGAGGCAGCAGUCGAGAAUCAUUCACAAUGGGGGAAACCCUGAUGGUGCGACGCCGCGUGGGGGAAUGAAGGUCUUCGGAUUGUAAACCCCUGUCAUGUGGGAGCAAAUUAAAAAGAUAGUACCACAAGAGGAAGAGACGGCUAACUCUGUGCCAGCAGCCGCGGUAAUACAGAGGUCUCAAGCGUUGUUCGGAAUCACUGGGCGUAAAGCGUGCGUAGGCUGUUUCGUAAGUCGUGUGUGAAAGGCGCGGGCUCAACCCGCGGACGGCACAUGAUACUGCGAGACUAGAGUGAGGGAGGGGGAACCGGAAUUCUCGGUGUAGCAGUGAAAUGCGUAGAUAUCGAGAGGAACACUCGUGGCGAAGGCGGGUUCCUGGACAGUAACUGACGCUGAGGCACGAAGGCCAGGGGAGCGAAAGGGAUUAGAUACCCCGGUAGUC
Molecule: ribosomal RNA, 446 nt
Filed under: uncultured bacterium
Lineage: Bacteria
Description: partial 16S ribosomal RNA
Rfam family: Bacterial small subunit ribosomal RNA
Source: RNAcentral